AGUGAACGCUGGCGGUAGGCCUAACACAUGCAAGUCGAACGGCAGCACAGUAAGAGCUUGCCUUUACGGGUGGCGAGUGGCGGACGGGUGAGGAAUACAUCGGCAUCUACUUUUUCGUGGGGGAUAACGUAGGGAAACUUACGCUAAUACCGCAUACGACCUACGGGUGAAAGCAGGGGAUCUUCGGACCUUGCGUGAUUGAAUGAGCCGAUGUCGGAUUAGCUAGUUGGCGAGGUAAAGGCACACCAAGGCAACGAUGCGUAGCUGGUCUGAGAGGAUGAUCAGCCACACUGGAACUGAGACACGGUCCAGACUCCUACGGGAGGCAGCAGUGGGGAAUAUUGGACAAUGGGCGCAAGCCUGAUCCAGCCAUACCGCGUGAGUGAAGAAGGCCUUCGGGUUGUAAAGCCCUGUUGUUGGGAAAGAAAAGCAGCAUGUUAAUACCCCGCUGUUCUGACGGUACCCAAAGAGUAAGCACCGGCUAACUUCGUG
Molecule: ribosomal RNA, 492 nt
Filed under: uncultured bacterium
Lineage: Bacteria
Description: partial 16S ribosomal RNA
Rfam family: Bacterial small subunit ribosomal RNA
Source: RNAcentral